GACGAACGCUGGCGGCGUGCUUAACACAUGCAAGUCGUACGGUAAGGCCCUUUCGGGGGUACACGAGUGGCGAACGGGUGAGUAACACGUGAGUAACCUGCCCACAACUUUGGGAUAACGCUAGGAAACUGGUGCCAAUACUGGAUAUGUGCUCCUGCUGCAUGGUGGGGGUUGGAAAGCUCCGGCGGUUGUGGAUGGACUCGCGGCCUAUCAGCUUGUUGGUGGGGUAGUGGCCUACCAAGGCGGCGACGGGUAGCCGGCCUGAGAGGGUGACCGGCCACAUUGGGACUGAGGUACGGCCCAGACUCCGACGGGAGGCAGCAGUGGGGAAUAUUGCACGAUGGGCGCCAGCCUGAUGCAGCAACGCCGCGUGCGGGAUGACGGCCUUCGGGUUGUAAACCGCUUUCAGCAGGGACGAAGCUUUUUGUGACGGUACCUGCAGAAGAAGCACCGGCUAACUACGUG
Molecule: ribosomal RNA, 465 nt
Filed under: uncultured bacterium
Lineage: Bacteria
Description: partial 16S ribosomal RNA
Rfam family: Bacterial small subunit ribosomal RNA
Source: RNAcentral